UGAUAAACGCCAUUCAGAAAAGACC
RNAcentral lists this non-coding RNA (25 nucleotides) under Mus musculus (house mouse). Lineage: Eukaryota; Metazoa; Chordata; Mammalia; Rodentia; Muridae. The record is from RNAcentral.